CCGGCACGGGUGAGUAACACGUAUCCAACCUGCCGUCUACUCUUGGACAGCCUUCUGAAAGGAAGAUUAAUACAAGAUGGCAUCGUGAGUCCGCAUGUCCACAUGAUUAAAGGUAUUCCGGUAGACGAUGGGGAUGCGUUCCAUUAGAUAGUAGGCGGGGUAACGGCCCACCUAGUCUUCGAUGGAUAGGGGUUCUGAGAGGAAGGUCCCCCACAUUGGAACUGAGACACGGUCCAA
Molecule: ribosomal RNA, 237 nt
Filed under: uncultured bacterium
Lineage: Bacteria
Description: partial 16S ribosomal RNA
Rfam family: Bacterial small subunit ribosomal RNA
Source: RNAcentral